GAGAUCUAGUGAUAAAUUGGAGCACCUUCGUCUCAGAGGCCUGAAAAGAAAAUCCAUGGUCAUCGGAGAUUUUCUGAUGAGGGAUGAGAGACCUCCGAUGUUUAAAUUAGUCAGAACUCGAAAAUAGUAAAAAAUGAGAAAGGGAUAGAGGAAAAGCUUUUCUUUAGAGAAAAUACUUAUCCAAAGAUUCGCUUUCUUCCCCU
Molecule: long non-coding RNA, 203 nt
Filed under: Elaeis guineensis (African oil palm)
Lineage: Eukaryota; Viridiplantae; Streptophyta; Magnoliopsida; Arecales; Arecaceae
Description: long non-coding RNA (EGUI_LNC067752)
Source: RNAcentral